CUUUCCUUUUCUUUGUCCUUACCCUUUUUCUUGCUUGAGCUACCUUUGAGGAAGGGCUUCCUUUUAUGAAAUUUCUUCUUUCCUCUCAUAAAUUUUCCGAAUUUUCUUACAAGCAUAGCCAUUCUUUCUUCAUCAUAUUCCUCCUCAUCAUCAGAUUCUUCUGAUUCGGUUUUCUAUUUUGGAGUGGUAGACUUCAAGGCAAUGGUCUUUCUUUUCAUGACCUCAUCUUCUGAAUUUUGCCUCAUGGUCAACUCAUGGGUCAUGAGUGAUCCUAGAAGUUCUUCCAAUUGCAGUGUAUUGAGGUCAUU
RNAcentral lists this long non-coding RNA (308 nucleotides) under Phoenix dactylifera (date palm). RNAcentral describes it as "long non-coding RNA (PDAC_LNC012909)". The record is from RNAcentral. Lineage: Eukaryota; Viridiplantae; Streptophyta; Magnoliopsida; Arecales; Arecaceae.